Molecule: ribosomal RNA, 198 nt
Filed under: uncultured bacterium
Lineage: Bacteria
Description: partial 16S ribosomal RNA
Rfam family: Bacterial small subunit ribosomal RNA
Source: RNAcentral
ACGCUCGACACCUACGGGGGGCAGCAGUGGGGAAUAUUGCACAAUGGGGGAAACCCUGAUGCAGCAACGCCGCGUGAGUGAAGAAGUAUUUCGGUAUGUAAAGCUCUAUCAGCAGGGAAGAUAAUGACGGUACCUGACUAAGAAGCUCCGGCUAAAUACGUGCCGGCAGCCGCGGUAAUCUGAGCGGGCUGGCAAGGC